CCUACGGGAGGCAGCAGUGGGGAAUAUUGGGCAAUGGAGGAAACUCUGACCCAGCGACGCCGCGUGCGGGAUGAAGGCCUUCGGGUUGUAAACCGCUUUCAGCAGGGAAGAAGCGAAAGUGACGGUACCUGCAGAAGAAGCACCGGCUAACUAUGUGCCAGCAGCCGCGGUAAUACAUAGGGUGCAAGCGUUGUCCGGAAUUAUUGGGCGUAAAGAGCUCGUAGGUGGUUCGUCACGUCGGAUGUGAAAAUCUGGGGCUUAACCCCAGACCUGCAUUCGAUACGGGCGAGCUUGAGUAUGGUAGGGGAGUCUGGAAUUCCUGGUGUAGCGGUGGAAUGCGCAGAUAUCAGGAGGAACACCAAUGGCGAAGGCAGGACUCUGGGCCAUUACUGACACUGAGGAGCGAAAGCGUGGGGAGCGAACAGGAUUAGAUACCCUGGUAGUCCACGCCGUAAACGGUGGGCACUAGUUGUGGGGACCUUCCACGGUCUCUGCGACGCAGCUAACGCAUUAAGUGCCCCGCCUGGGGAGUACGAUCGCAAGNUUAAAACUCAAAGGAUUGACGG
RNAcentral lists this ribosomal RNA (566 nucleotides) under uncultured bacterium. RNAcentral describes it as "bacterial SSU rRNA". It matches the Rfam family "Bacterial small subunit ribosomal RNA", at positions 338 to 916 of the family's 1533-position model. The record is from RNAcentral.